RNAcentral lists this ribosomal RNA (441 nucleotides) under uncultured bacterium. RNAcentral describes it as "partial 16S ribosomal RNA". It matches the Rfam family "Bacterial small subunit ribosomal RNA", at positions 338 to 795 of the family's 1533-position model. The record is from RNAcentral.
CCUACGGGAGGCAGCAGUGGGGGAUAUUGCACAAUGGGGGGAACCCUGAUGCAGCGACGCCGCGUGGGUGAAGGAGUGCUUCGGCAUGUAAAGCUCUAUCGGCAGGGAAGAAGCAAGACGGUACCUGACUAAGAAGCCCCGGCUAACUACGUGCCAGCAGCCGCGGUAAUACGUAGGGGGCGAGCGUUAUCCGGAUUCACUGGGUGUAAAGGGAGCGUAGACGGCAAUGCAAGCCAGGGGUGAAAUCCCGGGGCCCAACCCCGAGACUGCCCUUGAAACUGCAUGGCUGGAGUGCGGGAGGGGCAGGCGGAAUUCCUGGUGUAGCGGUGAAAUGCGUAGAUAUCAGGAGGAACACCGGCGGCGAAGGCGGCCUGCUGGACCGCGACUGACGUUGAGGCUCGAAAGCGUGGGGAGCAAACAGGAUUAGAUACCCCGGUAGUC